AAGGAAAAUUCUUACAAAAACAGGUGGCCCAGGGUCACAGUUUGCAGGCCUCUGGUAUCCUAUACCCAUAUGCAAUAUAGCUCUGUGAUGAGGGGCUGAGGGCUUAGUAUCAGGGGAGCCUGGGUUCCAAUUUUGGACAUUCUAGCCCUAGUUGUAGGGUCUAUUUGUGCAAAUUGUAGAACAUCUUUCUGCCUCAGUUCCCUCAUCUGUAUAAUAGGACUAAUAAUAACCAGAUCCCAGUGUUGGGAUUAGAUGAGCUAAGGUGUGUAAAAAACAUGGCCAGAUCCUGUGCACGGCAGAAUCUGUAAAAACAGUGGAUGCUACGUUACUUGCUAUCAUGAGCCAAGUUUCUUGUUUGUCUUUCAUCCUUCUGUGUGUUAGUCCAUUGAGUAAAUACACUUUAAUCUGCUUCAUUAUUUCUCCCAGACUGUCUACUUUAAAUCAUUCAACACCCUUGAAGCACCGAGGAUGAAGAAAAGAAGCUGAUUUUCAUUUUUGGACUGUCUGAGUAAAUGUGUUUGGGGAGGGGAGGGUGUUUAAAGACAUAAUCAACAGUGAAAUACUUGCUUGGGAAGAAUUUUUCUCCCCUCCCCCAACCAAGAAGGCUACUCAAAGAUAUGAAUGUAUUUCAGAAUUCUUUGAGAGCUGGGCUGGAUUAGGUAGGCUCUUCACUGAAGGUAAGAGAAACUUAAAAUUGCAAUGGGGCACCUCUAAACAAAACAAAGGGAUUUGUUACAGGGAAGUCAAGGGUGUUUUAUGGAAUGUAAAAUCCAAAAAUGCAGCCCAGCCUCAGCAGGUACAGGAUAAUGAAUGAAAAGUGAUUGGGAUCACGUGAGGUCAGGAGUUCAAGACCAGCCUGGCCAACACGGUGAAACCCCGUCUCUGCAAAAAUACAAAAAUUAGUCGGGCAUGAUGGCGGGUGCCUGUAAUCCCAGCUACUCAGGAGGCUAAGUGGGGGAAUCACUUGAACCCAGGAGGCAGAGAUUGCAGUGAGCCGAGAUAGCACCAUUGCACUCCAGCUUGGGCAACAGAGCAAGACUCCGUCUCAAAAAAAAAAAAAAAAAAAAAGUGAUUGGGGCAAGAGGUCAAGGUUCCACUGGGCCAAGACAAUGGUAUCUCUCAUUUUCGUACAACAGAGUCUCUCCCGUCUGCAAUUCCCUGCAGAAACAGGUUGAUAUAGUUUGGCUAUUUGUCCCUGCCCAAAUCUCAUGUUGAAUUUUAAUCCCCAAUGUUGGAGGUAGGGCCUAGUAGGAGGCAUUUGGGCCUUGGGGGUGGAUUUCUCAUGGCUUGGUACUGUCUUCGUGAGAGUGAGUUCUCAUGGGAUCUGGUCAUUUAAAAGUGUCCUGUACCUCCCCCCAACUCUUUCUCUGGCUCCUUUGUUUACCAUGUGACAUGCCUUCUUCCCCUUUGCCUUCUGUUAUGAUUGGAGGCUUCCUGAGGCCUCCUCAGAAGAUGAUGCUGCUACGCUUCCUGUACAGACUGCAGAACUGUGCGUCAGUUAAACCUCUUUUUUGCGUGUGAAUUGCCCAGUAUCAGAUACUUCUUUGUAGCAAUGCAAGAACCGUCUAAUACACAGGUACAUUUUAAUUUCACCCUUUAAAUCUUGUUCUAUGUGCAGCUUCCUUCCUUGGAUCCCCGCCUUGAGACUUAUUGUCACAUGGUGGUGGCAAUCACUCACCUGACUGAGACGAGGAAAGAAAAGCAGGCAUGUGUUUGUGUCUUAACUUCCCACCUUGGCUAUUGGCCAGGAGAUAGGGGUUUUGGCCAGGAGAUGCGGCGAUUGCAUCAGACAGAGGCGGGGGAGCCCGAGGAAAGAGGAGUUCUCCACACCUUGAUCACCACCGAAGGCUCUGGAUCCUUCUCUCUGGCUGAUUUGACCACACCCAGGAGCAGUGACAUGGAAGUGAACUUGGAGAGUACAAAAUAUUCACAAGCAUGUGGACUAAGAGCAGUUGUCACAAGCCACUGGUAGAAGAUCAGCCUGUCAUUAUCUUGUAUCCAGGACCCAGCAGCUCCAUUCCUAGUUCUGUCUUCUACAUGGGUCCCAGGACACCUGCAUGAAGAUGUUCAUUGCAGCGUUGUUUAUAAUCGCAAAAAACUGAGAGUGGGAGGAGACUCUGAAUGUCCAGGAGAAUGGAAAAAGUAUACCAUUGUACGUAAAUGAACAUUAAAUGGCAGAGAAGAAGGACCAUGUAUCAAGAGAGACAUGUCUCAAAAUCAGUGUCAAAUAUAAAAAGCAAGUUUCAGAAAGAUACGUAUUGGAUAAUAUCAUUUAUAAAGUGUUUCUGAAACAUGGAACAUGUAUUAUACAUUCUGUACACUUGCAUAUUUAAGUAGCAAAAUUAUAAAAAAAAAACAGGAAUGGGAAUAAGGAAGUUACCAGUAUAAAGAUUACAUUAUGGGACAGUGCUGUGAUUAGGAGUUCAGGCUUUGGAAUCAGACGGACUGGUUUGAAUCCUGGCUUGGACUUAACUUCUCUGAGCUUUUGUUUCCUUACAUGAAAAAUGGGACCAAUAAUGGUAUCAACCUCAUAAGGCUUUUGUGAGGAUUAAAGGAAAUAAUAUGUAUAAAACCCUGCACUCCGCAGUGUAUUUAUAAGAUUUAGAUGUACAGGAGGUAUAAAGAGGUGACAAUAAAACCACCAAUCUCAGGGCUGUCUUAAAUUAAGAUUUUUUUCUAAUUAAAAAAUUAAUUUUGGAAUUAUGCUCAUCAUAGAGACCGUGAAAAUUACAGAUGUAUAUAUAUAUGUGUGUGUAUAUAUAUAUAUAUAAAGAAAGAAAAGAAAAUUAACAUGUCCCCAAAUCUCCCUACCCUGGAAAACACUAUAACAUUUUAAUGACUUUCCUUCCAGUCUUCUUUUGGCAAUACGCAUUCACACGUACUUAGAUGAGGGGGUUCAGAGGAGAGGCGUGAAUCUACACAUCUCUCUGUCUAUCUAUGAGAAACAUCUCCCAGCUUACUAUUUGUAUUCUGCCCUUUUCAUUACCACUUGGGGCAGACUCUGUAAGUGUCUGAAGCAAUUCCUUCUUCUUCUCUACCAACAUAACCCAUUUUUGUUUAUGUAUUGGCCAGAAUUCUCCUGAUCUCAGGGAAGAUGUAUAGGGUAGUCAUGUGAUCUAGCUAUGGCCAAUUAAAAGUAAAAAUAGGCUGGGCAUGGUGGCUCACGCCUGUAAUCCCAACACUGAGAGGCUGAGGUGGGUGGAUCACUUGAGGUCAGAAGUUCGAGACCAGCCUGGCCAACAUGGUUGAACGCUGUCUCUAAUGAAAACACAAAAAUUAGCUGGCAUGGUGGUGCAUGCCUGUAAUUGCAGCUACUUGGGAGGCUGAGGCAUGAGAAUGGGUUGAACCUGGGAGACGGAGGUUGCAGAGAGCUGAGAUCUCGCCACUGCACUCCAGCCUGGGCGACAGAACAACACUGCAUCUCAAAAAUAAAAAUUAAAAAAAAAAAGCAAAAUAAGUUUGAUGUGGAAACUUUUAGGAAGGAGUUUUGUAUCCUGAUAAAAAGCAAGACUGAAGUUCUGCCCCAGUCCUGGUCGCACAUAUCAUUCUUGUCUUUGAAUGAGACCAUGAUGCCAGGAGCUAUGGCAGCCAUUCUAUGUUCAUGAGACAAGCAGCCUGACGACAACGGCCAACACAAUGAAGAGGAUGGAGCAGAAAAACAGAAGAGCCUGGGUCCUUGAUGACCCUGUUGAGGGGCCAGACCAGCCCUGAGGCCACUAACCUUCAGACUUCUUAUAAAUGAACAUAAAUAGCCUCAUGCUUGAAGGCACCAAUGGUCUGACUUUCCAUUACCUUGAGGCCAAAAGUAUUGCAAAUGCAGACUUAUUGUAGAAUUCUUGGAAAUUACACAAUGUUUCAAAGAAGAAAAUGGACAUCAUCCAAAAUCUCACUACCUGGAGAUAAACACUAUUAAAUAUUUUGGUAUAUUUUCUUAUUUUCUUCUAACCAUAGAGAAAAGUCUUUCUUUUUUUAAAAGUGUAUUGCUUGCUAUUUGGCUUACUAUUAAAUUAAGUGUUUCUUUCCUUGUUAUUAAAGAGUCUUUGAAAAGUUUAUUUUUAAUAUCCAUUGCUUGGAUGUAUUGUUACAACUGACACGUUUGGUUUGACUUCUGUCAUGAAGAUAAAACAAGAGGCUUUCUGUUUGUGGGUGUUUGUGCAUUUUCUUUUCCUGCUUCCUUUGUUUCCAGCUUUUGCUAUGUGGAUUUUUCACUGUGCCUGAAAAAGUUCCCUUCCUCUAGCAUUGUGGAAGGUAAUUCACUCUUCACAGGACUCUGGAUUUCAGAUUUAUAGUUUGAGGCGCAUUUCCUUGAUCCUUUUGAGAAUCACACAUUGCUGAGUCCUGAAUUUCAGCUCUUAUAGGGGCGUUUCUUACCAUUUGAUGAGUAAAUCUCACAAAUGCCAGCUGUUGCUAGCUUACAAGGAAUCAAGUACCGGAAGUUCUUUCUCCAAACUGGAGUGCAUUCCCAGCACAUCCUAUGGGGUCCAAAUCUCCCCAUUUCAUAAUCUUUGUCAGGGAGAAGUGGUGUAGAGAGGACAAAAGGAAAGAAGUUUUCUUUGCUAGAUCAUAAACAUGCUAAAGGGCAAAAUUAAUACAGGUGAUACCCUUUUAGCAACACCUAAGGGAGUGAGCGAGGAUAAUUUCUGUGUGCUGCAUCUUUGUGUCUAAAACAUCAUGUGCAAUUGUUUUAUUUGGUUCUCUCUGAACAAUUCUUCCUGGACGCACAGGA
Molecule: long non-coding RNA, 4726 nt
Filed under: Homo sapiens (human)
Lineage: Eukaryota; Metazoa; Chordata; Mammalia; Primates; Hominidae
Description: HSALNT0267966
Source: RNAcentral